RNAcentral lists this ribosomal RNA (253 nucleotides) under uncultured bacterium. Its description in RNAcentral is "partial 16S ribosomal RNA". It matches the Rfam family "Bacterial small subunit ribosomal RNA", at positions 524 to 776 of the family's 1533-position model. The record is from RNAcentral.
UACGUAGGGAGCAAGCGUUGUCCGGAAUCAUUGGGCGUAAAGCGCGCGUAGGCGGCUCGAUCAGUCUGUUGUGAAAGUCAAAGGCUCAACCUUUGAAUGCCGAUGGAUACUGUCGAGCUAGAGUCCGGAAGAGGAGAGUGGAAUUCCUGGUGUAGCGGUGAAAUGCGCAGAUAUCAGGAAGAACACCAAUGGCGAAGGCAGCUCUCUGGGACGGUACUGACGCUGAGACGCGAAAGCGUGGGGAGCGAACAGG